CCUACGGGUGGCAGCAGUGAGGAAUAUUGGUCCAUGGGCGCGAGCCUGAACCAGCCAAGUCGCGUGAGGGACGACGGUCCCAUGGAUUGUAAACCUCUUUUGUCGGGGAGCAAAAUCCGCCACGCGUGGCGUUCCGAGAGUACCCUAAGAAAAAGCAUCGGCUACCUCCGUGCCAGCAGCCGCGGUAAUACGGAGGAUGCGAGCGUUAUCCGGUUUUAUUGGGUUUAAAGGGUGCGCAGGCGGAAUAUCAAGUCAGCGGUAAAAUUGAGGGGCUCAACCUCUUCGAGCCGUUGAAACUGGGUGUCUUGAGAGAGCGAGAAGUAUGCGGAAUGCGUGGUGUAGCGGUGAAAUGCAUAGAUAUCACGCAGAACUCCGAUUGCGAAGGCAGCAUACCGGCGCUCAACUGACGCUCAUGCACGAAAGUGUGGGUAUCGAACAGGAUUAGAUACCCGGGUAGUC
RNAcentral lists this ribosomal RNA (459 nucleotides) under uncultured bacterium. RNAcentral describes it as "partial 16S ribosomal RNA". It matches the Rfam family "Bacterial small subunit ribosomal RNA", at positions 338 to 795 of the family's 1533-position model. The record is from RNAcentral.